UGUAUAUGUGUGUGUGGGGGGGUGUCAUUUCAGUCCUCGCACUGGCUGACCCGCCACCCGAUGGGUGUUUUCAUCUGUUGGCAUCUUCUUGAAAUGCCAGCCUGGCUGAGUUUAUAAAUGGGGGUGGACAACGAUGACGAACGAGAGUCUCGACAUAUAUUUGAGCCGGCUUGGACCGGCUGGACCGGCUGGAUCGUUUGAUUGAUGAAUGAUUUUAUUAGCCAUUAUCGAAAGAAAUCGUUUUUGCAAGAAGAUUCUUCGAGCUGUGAAUGGGGCAGACCAGCCUGAGGAUUUGGAGAGAAAAAUUAUCCCGGUCCAGGUUCCUUCCUUCCCCCUCAAGGGCAGGGCUGCUUCUGACGCAGACAUCCCAAAUUUUAGACAACACCCAAAGAAGGAUAUCUGGCGUGGAGAUUGUAGUUGCUGAGAAGGAUGGUCGGUUUGAAGCCCACCGACAUCCCACCGUCGGCGCCCAUCAAAUUCCUCAGCGCUGGCACAGCUGCCUGCGUUGCUGAUCUCUGCACGUUCCCCUUGGACACGGCCAAAGUCCGGCUCCAGAUCCAGGGGGAAUCGAGGACCUGCAAAGCGAGCAGACAAGUGAAAUACAAAGGGGUGCUGGGCACCAUCGCCACCAUGGUGAAGAUGGAAGGGCCCAAGAGCCUCUACAACGGGCUGGUGGCCGGCCUUCAGCGCCAGAUGAGUUUCGCCUCGGUCCGGAUCGGACUCUACGACUCCGUGAAGCAGCUCUACACGCCCAAGGGCUCCGAGCAUUCCAGCAUUUUCAUCCGACUCCUUGCCGGCUGUACCACCGGCGCCAUGGCGGUGACCUGCGCCCAGCCGACGGACGUGGUGAAAGUCCGCUUCCAAGCCCACAUCCAGCUGGUGGGGGCUCCCAAGAGGUACAAUGGGACAGUGGAUGCCUAUCGGACAAUCGCCCGGGAAGAAGGGGUCCGAGGCCUCUGGAAAGGGACCUUCCCCAACAUCACUCGUAACGCCAUUGUGAACUGUGGGGAGAUGGUGACCUAUGACCUCAUCAAGGAGACCCUGCUGAAACAUCACCUGAUGACAGAUAAUUUCCCAUGCCACUUUGUGGCGGCGUUUGGAGCUGGUUUCUGUGCAACGGUGGUGGCGUCACCGGUGGACGUGGUCAAAACGCGGUACAUGAACUCCGGCACCGGACACUAUAAGAACGCCUUGAACUGCAUGCUGACCAUGGUGGUGAAGGAAGGACCCCGUGCUUUCUACAAAGGCUUCAUGCCUUCUUUCUUACGGUUGGGAUCCUGGAACGUGGUGAUGUUUGUGUCCUACGAGCAGCUGAAACGGUUGCUGGUUUUGGCUCAGCUUUCUUGGGAGACCCCCUUCUGAUCUGAUCGGAUCCGGGCCAGGGUCUCCUCCAGCCAAAGAGAGAACCACAAGGGGGGGGGACUUUUAAAUUCUGCAAACAGUAUUUGCCGGGAUGGCAAGCCUACCUAUCAAUUAUAUUAAUUGCCGCCAACGCUGUGCCCAUUGAGGCACGAGACUUAAACACGCUGCAAGAAGACUUUUUAUCACGUUAACAAGGCGCAACUAGACAUGGAUCACACAUGCUUGCUCAGCAAAAGCCAGCCAGAUGUGGAUCAGAUAGCACGGGGUCUCCGUGAGAGGAUCCCAAGAGUGAAGGAAGCGGUGGAAAAAGAGAGACUGUUUUCUGAAAUCCUGCUAAGACAGGGCUUUUCAACCAGGGGUAUGGGUACCACCUGUGGUAUAUUGGCACCUGGCAGGGGGUACACGACCAUCCUAGAAAAAUGGC
Crotalus tigris (Tiger rattlesnake) is the source of this 1786-nucleotide RNA transcript. It is a transcript of the gene named mitochondrial uncoupling protein 3-like, with no coding region annotated. The transcript is spliced from 8 exons. Lineage: Eukaryota; Metazoa; Chordata; Lepidosauria; Squamata; Viperidae. The record is from RefSeq and is a predicted model, not a curated record.